RNAcentral lists this ribosomal RNA (492 nucleotides) under uncultured bacterium. RNAcentral describes it as "partial 16S ribosomal RNA". It matches the Rfam family "Bacterial small subunit ribosomal RNA", at positions 29 to 507 of the family's 1533-position model. The record is from RNAcentral.
AGUGAACGCUGGCGGUAGGCCUAACACAUGCAAGCCGAACGGCAGCACAGUAAGAGCUUGCUCUUACGGGUGGCGAGUGGCGGACGGGUGAGGAAUACAUCGGAAUCUACUUUUUCGUGGGGGAUAACGUAGGGAAACUUACGCUAAUACCGCAUACGACCUACGGGUGAAAGCAGGGGAUCUUCGGACCUUGCGCGAUUGAAUGAGCCGAUGUCGGAUUAGCUAGUUGGCGGGGUAAAGGCCCACCAAGGCGACGAUCCGUAGCUGGUCUGGGAGGAUGAUCAGCCACACUGGAACUGAGACACGGUCCAGACUCCUACGGGAGGCAGCAGUGGGGAAUAUUGGACAAUGGGCGCAAGCCUGAUCCAGCCAUACCGCGUGGGUGAAGAAGGCCUUCGGGUUGUAAAGCCCUUUUGUUGGGAAAGAAAAGCAGCAGGUUAAUACCCCGCUGUUCUGACGGUACCCAAAGAAUAAGCACCGGCUAACUUCGUG